Molecule: ribosomal RNA, 301 nt
Filed under: uncultured bacterium
Lineage: Bacteria
Description: partial 16S ribosomal RNA
Rfam family: Bacterial small subunit ribosomal RNA
Source: RNAcentral
CAGUCGCCGCGGUAAUACGAAGGGGGCUAGCGUUGUUCGGAAUUACUGGGCGUAAAGCGCACGUAGGCGGAUAUUUAAGUCAGGGGUGAAAUCCCAGAGCUCAACUCAGGAACUGCCUUUGAUACUGGGUAUCUUGAGUAUGGAAGAGGUGAGUGGAAUUCCGAGUGUAGAGGUGAAAUUCGUAGAUAUUCGGAGGAACACCAGUGGCGAAGGCGGCUCACUGGUCCAUUACUGACGCUGAGGUGCGAAAGCGUGGGGAGCAAACAGGAUUAGAUACCCCCGUAGUCCCUGUCUCUUAUAC